This 455-nucleotide ribosomal RNA is filed under the name Streptococcus mitis. Its description in RNAcentral is "bacterial SSU rRNA". It matches the Rfam family "Bacterial small subunit ribosomal RNA", at positions 28 to 473 of the family's 1533-position model. The record is from RNAcentral. Lineage: Bacteria; Bacillati; Bacillota; Bacilli; Lactobacillales; Streptococcaceae.
GACGAACGCUGGCGGCGUGCCUAAUACAUGCAAGUAGAACGCUGAAGAGAGGAGCUUGCUCUUCUUGGAUGAGUUGCGAACGGGUGAGUAACGCGUAGGUAACCUGCCUGGUAGCGGGGGAUAACUAUUGGAAACGAUAGCUAAUACCGCAUAAUAGCAGUUAUUGCAUGAUAACUGUUUGAAAGGUGCAAAUGCAUCACUACCAGAUGGACCUGCGUUGUAUUAGCUAGUUGGUGGGGUAACGGCUCACCAAGGCGACGAUACAUAGCCGACCUGAGAGGGUGAUCGGCCACACUGGGACUGAGACACGGCCCAGACUCCUACGGGAGGCAGCAGUAGGGAAUCUUCGGCAAUGGACGGAAGUCUGACCGAGCAAUGCCGCGUGAGUGAAGAAGGUUUUCGGAUCGUAAAGCUCUGUUGUAAGAGAAGAACGAGUGUGAGAAGUGGAAAGUUAC